RNAcentral lists this ribosomal RNA (450 nucleotides) under uncultured bacterium. Its description in RNAcentral is "partial 16S ribosomal RNA". It matches the Rfam family "Bacterial small subunit ribosomal RNA", at positions 354 to 796 of the family's 1533-position model. The record is from RNAcentral.
GUGGGGAAUCUUCUGCAAUGGACGAAAGUCUGACGGAGCAACGCCGCGUGAGUGAUGAAGGUCUUCGGAUUGUAAAGCUCUGUUAAUCGGGACGAAAGAGCCUAGUGUGAAUAAUGCUAGGAAGUGACGGUACCGGAAUAGAAAGCCACGGCUAACUACGUGCCAGCAGCCGCGGUAAUACGUAGGUGGCAAGCGUUGUCCGGAAUUAUUGGGCGUAAAGCGCGCGCAGGCGGAUCUGCCAGUCUGUCUUAAAAGUUCGGGGCUUAACCCCGUGAUGGGAUGGAAACUACAGAUCUAGAGUAUCGGAGAGGAAAGUGGAAUUCCUAGUGUAGCGGUGAAAUGCGUAGAUAUUAGGAAGAACACCAGUGGCGAAGGCGACUUUCUGGACGAAAACUGACGCUGAGGCGCGAAAGCCAGGGGAGCGAACGGGAUUAGAUACCCGAGUAGUCC